AGGAUGAACGCUGGCGGCGUGCCUAACACAUGCAAGUCGAACGUCCUGUCUCGCAAGAGGCAGGGAGUGGCGGACGGGUGAGUACCACGUGGGUCAUCUACCGUGAGGUGAGGAAUACCGGCGAGAAAUCGCCGACAAGACCGCAUAGGCUCGAUGCAAGUCGAGCAAAGCUCUUUCGAGAGAGGGAGCGCCACACGAGGAGCCUGCGCCCGAUUAGCUAGCUGGUGGAGUAACGGUUCACCAGGGCGACGAUCGGUAGCUGGUCUGAGAGGACGAUCAGCCACACUGGGAUUGAGAACGGCCCAGACUCCUACGGGGGGCAGCAGUGAGGAAUUUUCGUCAAUGGGGGCAACCCUGAACGAGCAACGCCGCGUGCAGGAAGAAGGUUUCGGAUCGUAAACUGCUUUUCUCGGGGAAGAGAAUGGACGGUACCCGAGGAAUCAGCCCGGCUAACUACGCGCCAGCAGCCGCGGU
RNAcentral lists this ribosomal RNA (474 nucleotides) under uncultured bacterium. RNAcentral describes it as "SSU rRNA". It matches the Rfam family "Bacterial small subunit ribosomal RNA", at positions 26 to 521 of the family's 1533-position model. The record is from RNAcentral.